UGUGAGGAGACAAGGAGUCCAGUCAUGUAUGUGAUACUGUCCUUGUUUUCCAGUAAGGAAACUGAGGCCUAGAAAUUAAGUGAAUUUACCACCUGACACCAGGCCUGGAAGAGAGAACAGUGGGACUUGAUCCCAGAUUUCUGGAUUUUCUCUUCUAUGAGGAAAACACUCAUAUCCUUGUAUCUUCCUUUUGGGACUAGUCCCAGCCCUGUUAACACUGCUGUGCAAAGUCAUGUGAAUGGGAGGGAGCCACAUGAAUUUGUGGUCAUGUGGCUAAAACAUGGUGGGCACAUAGUGUUAGAGAAUACUAGAAAGGUAAGUAGAGGCGUGUGUGUGUGUGUGUGUGUGUGUGUGUGUGUGUGUGU
This 365-nucleotide long non-coding RNA is filed under the name Homo sapiens (human). Its description in RNAcentral is "LHRI_LNC788.1". Lineage: Eukaryota; Metazoa; Chordata; Mammalia; Primates; Hominidae. The record is from RNAcentral.